Molecule: ribosomal RNA, 253 nt
Filed under: uncultured bacterium
Lineage: Bacteria
Description: partial 16S ribosomal RNA
Rfam family: Bacterial small subunit ribosomal RNA
Source: RNAcentral
UACAGAGGUGGCAAGCGUUGUUCGGAAUUACUGGGCGUAAAGGGCGCGUAGGCGGUUCGUUAAGUCCUGUGUGAAAUCCCCCGGCUCAACUGGGGAACUGCACAGGAAACUAGCGGGCUUGAGUUCGGGAGAGGGAAGCGGAAUUCCGGGUGUAGCGGUGAAAUGCGUAGAUAUCCGGAGGAACACCGGUGGCGAAGGCGGCUUCCUGGACCGACACUGACGCUGAGGCGCGAAAGCUAGGGGAGCAAAAGGG